Molecule: ribosomal RNA, 460 nt
Filed under: uncultured bacterium
Lineage: Bacteria
Description: partial 16S ribosomal RNA
Rfam family: Bacterial small subunit ribosomal RNA
Source: RNAcentral
CCUACGGGUGGCAGCAGUGAGGAAUAUUGGUCAAUGGGCGCGAGCCUGAACCAGCCAAGUAGCGUGAAGGAUGACUGCCCUCCGGGUUGUAAACUUCUUUUAUAGAGGAAUAAAGUGAGGCACGUGUGCCUUUUUGUAUGUACUUUAUGAAUAAGGAUCGGCUAACUCCGUGCCAGCAGCCGCGGUAAUACGGAGGUUCCGAGCGUUAUCCGGAUUUAUUGGGUUUAAAGGGAGCGUAGAUGGGUGGUUAAGUCAGUUGUGAAAGCUCGCGGCUCAACCGUAAAAUUGCAAUUGAUACUGGCAGUCUUGAGUACAGGUGAGGUAGGCGGAAUUCGUGGUGUAGCGGUGAAAUGCUUAGAUAUCACGAAGAACUCCGAUUGCGAAGGCAGCUUACUAAACUGCAACUGACAGUGAUGCUCGAAAGUGUGGGGAUCAAACAGGAUUAGAUACCCUUGUAGUC